This is a long non-coding RNA of Gallus gallus (chicken), 5445 nucleotides long. Lineage: Eukaryota; Metazoa; Chordata; Aves; Galliformes; Phasianidae. The record is from Ensembl.
CUUUAACCCAGCACCCUGGGCUAAGCCUCGGGUGGAUUUCUAGCAGACACUGACAUUUUCCACUGCUUUCCCAGGCAACUCCUCACAUAAGAGAUUUGGAUUUGUACAGAGAAGAAGAAAAACUAAAAGGAACUGGUAACAGACCGGGAAGGAUCUUUUAUUCUGUCUAGAAAAUCUACAUUCGAGACUUAAGAAGGGAAAGCAGCAGACACACUGCUUGGGCUUGUGUGCCAUCUGGCUUGACCCUGAUCCCUGACAACGGGAUGGCCACUGAGUGUGAAAAGUCAGACCGCUGUGAUCUACUUCAGCUUAAAAACUGCGCCUGAUUGAAGACAGCACAAGGAACAGUACAGGAGAGAGACCAAGCACACACGUGAACGUCACAUUCAUUUGUUCUGCAGUUCCAGAAACACGCUGAGAAGAAUGAAUCCCAGCAGUCCACGGUGUGAAGAAAAGAAAUGUGGAUAGUUGCUUGCGUGAGCUGGUGUCAUUCAGGAUGAACCAUAUGAGCAAGACAGCCCUUUGCGCACUAGAGCGUGAGAACAUACUACCAGUAAAAGAAAUCACACCCUGCUCCCCCAUGAAUACCUCUCUGGUUUCUAGCCUCAGUUCUCAAUGAAGAGGGGCACCGAGAGAACGGCCUGGUGGGAGCGAGCCUGUUAGCUGUGCCCAACUCACCGCAGCAUCAGAAACCGUUCACAGACACUCAGCCACUCCACUGGAAAGAAACAGAGUGAACACAAGUAGCCUUGAGCUUUGCCCUAGUUGCGAUUGAAGCCAGUUCACUUUCAGGUACCGCUGGACAAAACAGAACCGCGCUUCUCGUUCUCUGCCUCCGCUACAGUAAGAAAUAGAGGAAUGUCUAUGUCCUGUUAUCACCAGGAGCAACAGGUUAAUGGCCUGCAGACGCUUGGUUGCACUGAGUAAACCUACUAACACACAGAUAAGUCAACACACCCAUCUUCAAGCUGGGGAAGCUCUACUGCAUUCAAGAGAUGCUGCCAUGCAGAAAUUCAGCUGCAAAAGAAACGGGAAAAAAUACUCAGUGAUGUCAUUUGAACAUGCAAUGCUAAAUGGCCAAGCACAGAAGGAGUCUAUUUGCUCCUCUUUCUCCUCCCUCAAGAUUAUUAAGCUCGUGGCAUCAACAGGGGAUGAAGUCCCAAGCACAGAAAUGCAGGAGCAUCCUUUCUUUGUGCGCAGGAGCACUACCACAAAGCAGCCAUCACCACAUAAGAGCCACCACAGCACAUAGCAGAUCCAGCGCUGCACCUCCCAGCCCAGGAUCAGGACCUUCAGACAACAGCUGCACCAGGACCCCAAACUCCAGCACUUCAUCAGUUCCAUUCCUCCAAGAGAGAACCUGCCACACACCUUCAGACCUGUAAAGAAAGCACAUCACCCUCAAACAAGGGGAUUUUGCCCAGUCCCAGCCAUAAACACCAUCUCAGGGUUGAAGGAUGCAGCUCACCUCACUCCAGCCCUGAACCUGCAGGAAGACCUGUGAACCACACAGAAGGCAGCCCUCUGCUAGCAGGGGACCCACUGGUGGGUCCCCAUCUCUCACCUCCUUCAUCCCAGCACUGGAAAAAAGCAGCUCACGUAUUCCAGCCAAUCCUCCCUGCAGCCUUCACCCUGCAACAAGAACACAGAGACAUACAAGAUGGAAACACCACACAUCACCCACAAAACCAUCCUGAGGCAACUGGAACAGGCCCCAGAAAAGGGGACUCCGCAACCUCUCCAGGCAGCCUAUUCCAUCCCUCUCACAGUGAAAUCAUUCUCCUGUUUGCAUACAACUUUCUAGUGUUACAGUCCACAAACACUGCCCCCAUACUACCACACACCACCUGUCCCCAUCAAUUGGGCUCCUGCACAUCAGAUAUUCACUAACAGUCACAGUAUUCCCAUCCUCUGCCCUUCUCUCAUCCCACUGGAGAAUCCAGACAACAUACAAAACCCCCAUUAGGCCCAGCACCACUUCCCAUCAGUGAAUUCACCUUGACCGCUCCUUAGACAUUUCUUCUCUUCCAGUUGCUUGGAGAUGACAUCCAGAAGCAGUUGUUACAUUGCCAUUCCAGGAAGGGAGGUGAGGCUAACCAACCUACAGUUGCACAGCUGUAUGACAAACAGGUAUACAGGUAUUGGACCACAGAGAAUAACACAUUACAAAGGAGAAAUGAAAUAAAGAUCUUACCCAUGUCCUGGGCUUACAGAAGGGCUCCAAGAGGAUCUCCAGCCAGAGAUCCUUCCUCCUUGGGAGUCAGCCCUUAAAUGGCAUCUAGGAGGGAUGGAGCCAGGCUCCACCUCUUCCCCUCACUCAGGUGAAAUUGCAUUCACCUGUGCCCCUGCAGCUGACUCGGCACUCUCCUCAGGUGGAGGAAUCAAAGGUUCAGGCUGUGAUUCAACAGUUCCCAUACACACAGGCCAUCCUCCUCACCCUUUCCGAAGGCUGAGGUGACAUCAGCUAUCCUCCAGUCUUUGGGCACCUUUCCUAUAGGAAAGAACAGAGGAAACGUGACAGAGAGCUAUGUGGCAGUCACUUCUGCCAGCUCUCUCAGCACACACAGGCAUAUCCCUUUCCAGCUCAGGCAUUUGUGCUGGCACCCACUUUGCCUAAAUGACCUUUGACCAGCUCCUCCACAAUCAAGAGGAAGUCAUCCUUCCUCUAAAACUAUUUCCUCCAGAAUCCAGGGAUCCCAAGGAGCAGACUCAGCAGCGACCACUGAAACCAAAAAUACAUUCAGCACAUACUCUAUUACCAGGGCCUCCACCUUGUAAAGCAGAGGCCCGCUCUAGUCUCCUUUCUCCCAUUGACCAACUUCUAUUAGCCUUGACCUCCCUUCCCAAAGGUGAUACUGAGAGGGUCAUCGUCUUCCUUAGCCCAAGUCUUCCUUUUCCCCUUCAAGUUCAUCUUGAGUUCCUCAUUCAACCCUGCAGGUCUCCUGCCAGUAGAGAUACCACCCACAGUGAUGUCACCCACAUUUACCUGCCUCUUGAGCCUCACAUGCAAGCGCUCCGCUAGUUCUUCAUUCACCCCGAGGCAGAGCUCGAUACAUUUCCAUUCUCUCACUGGAAGAGAGACUCCACCACCUGGCCGGUCUGUCUUUCCUAAAAGGAACAAAGCCAUCCACAACAGCAUUCCGGUCAUGCAAGCUGCCCCACCAGGUCUCCACGGUAGGCACAAAACCGUGCUCCUGAAGUCCCACGUGAAGGAAGGGGGAGAAAAAAAGAAAACAAGUGUUCCCAUCCUGCUCGCUCCCACCGCUGGAAACGGGGGGGCUGGAGCACCAGUAGAACCCUCCUCGGGGGCUGAGGCCGCCCCGGGGCCGCGCUCGGUCUCGAGCCGUCGGGCAGCGGCCUCGUGCCGGCUCUUCUCUAAAAGGCCACGCGGGAGCCCAGAAGCGGCGCCGUGCCGAUCCCGAAGGUGCAGAGGUAGCCGAGCAACAGCCCUACAUAAACCCCGAGAAGAGAGAUCUUACCAGCUGACUCCCCAACGCUCACCGCUUCCACGAGCUCACCGCUUUGGAGCGAGGAGAGGCUCUGCCGGAACACUCGCUCAGCCUGCAAUAGGAGAAAACUUGGGUUUCAGCAGCCCUUCGCGUCGCUUUUUAUUACUCCCAGCAGCACCGAGGCUGCAAGAGUACGGCCCCAUCCCACCUGCUCCUACCGAUGAGAGCCUGAAGAACCGAAGCACCCGCUACAAACAACCCUAGGAAGAGGGAGGCUCAGAGCACCCCGGGGCUGCGGUAGGACUUAAGGACCUGAGCGGCAGCUCCCUCCGAAAACGCGAUGGGAGCCGGGCGGCGACGCUGUAUCGACAGCAAACAGCCGGGGAAGCCCGGCGGCAGCCCUACGCCGGCCCCGGGAAGAGCGGGGUCCGGGAGCCCGGCAGCCUCCCGCUCCAGCCGAAGAGAUCCUCGCGGCUCCCGAGCCCUCGCCGCCUGCACGGUCCCGUUACUACCAAAACGGCUCACACCGGUUUGGGCGGAUCCUUACCGCGAGAGGUCUCACAGCAGCCUGAAACAAAACGACACAACGAGAACAUUAAAGAGACCCCCCCAAAGCUCCAUUUUAAAAGCAGCCCCUGGUACCGCUUCCCAGCUCCAGCAGCGCUAAGAGCGGUCAAAGGAACCGGAGCCCCCUCCGUCUCUCGGGGAGAACCGCAAGAACUCCCCCGUGGCUCCCGGCAGCCUCCGGAGGAGCUUAAGAGGCUUUGGGGCGGGCCCCGCCCGGGGCUCCCGACGAGGCGCAGCUGUGCCCGGCCGGCCGCGGCACCUGGAAGUCGUUGCCUCGUUAGCGCAGCCGGCCUCGUUAGGGCCGUCCUGGGGCCCUGACAGUUAGGCACGUGGCCUCUAGAUCUGAAUUAGGGACUUAAGUGACACUUCAAAUUACAGGUUGUGACGCGCUUCUCCUUCUCACCUCGUGGUGGGAUUCAUUAAUAAGUUAGAUAAUUAAUAUCUUAACACGUUAGAGUGUCCCUGCAAAGCAAGCACGCUAAAGGUCUUUUUUCUGCUCUCUGAAAACAGAGGUGGAGAUUUCAGUAAGGGCUGUUCACAGCAGUAAUAGGGAGAUUGAUCUGGGUGCUUUUUGCGUUAUCUGUGUGCUUUUUGCUUUUCCAGCAGCAGGGAGAUGAAGGUGGGGUUUCACUGCAGAAUGUUUUUCAGCCUGUUUUCAGUACAUUCGUUACUCUCUAACUAUUUGACUUUCAUAAUCACCUGAGAACUAGGCUGUAGCCUGUCCUUUCCCAGGGGGUCACCUGGCCAAGGCUGAAGGUCAGUCCGUGAUCAUAGCACGACGAGGUCUUUCAGCAAAUGAUGAAAACAUUCCACUCUUAUUCGUUCCCAUUUUAAUCUGGAACAAUUCGUCUGAGUUCCAGAGAAGUUCUGCAGUGUGGCAGAGCAAAGAGUACUUUCUCCGUACAGAGAUUUUCUUGACACGUUACCUGCCGGGGUUUGUCACGGCUCGACCUGAGAUCCCACUCAUUUCCACUAGGCAGACUGAGGAAUGAGACUGUUACCUUUGCAGGCUUGCUGAUGCUUUGCUCUCCUCCCGCGAGUGGGGGAAUCACGGCGUAGCUGUAAACACGUGAAGCAUUUCAUGCUAACGGCUACGUGGCACACUUCUGUGCAUUUUCAGGAGCUGAGCAGCAGUGCAGAGCUGCUAACGUUCACUGAGGGAUUGUAAAAAGUGUUUGACAGUGCUUUUUUAGCCACAGCAGGGACUGAACGAGCUGCAUGGCUUCCCUGUCGUUUGCAAGGUGGAGCCCUGGAGAAGCGCUGCUGCAGGACUAGAUGUGAUUGCUGUACUGCUUGUGGCGUCUGGGAGGGUGUGCUUCUGAGACCCUGUCAGUUAAGGACCUCCAAGCCUCUCCACGGCAAUCCGCACUCCCUAAUAGGAGCUGCUGCACAUCUUGGCAUGGAUGACAACAAAGUUCUCCCUCGCCUG